Suricata suricatta (meerkat) is the source of this 1262-nucleotide long non-coding RNA. RefSeq lists it as uncharacterized. Lineage: Eukaryota; Metazoa; Chordata; Mammalia; Carnivora; Herpestidae. The transcript has 2 exons. The record is from RefSeq and is a predicted model, not a curated record.
GGCGGGGCCACGGCCCGGAGCCCGACUCGCCCUUCCGCCGGAGUCCGCCCCGCGGUCCCGCCUCCCCCCAGCGCUGACCUCAGCGCGGGGACCCCUGGCCACCCCCGACAGGCCAUCGCCAAGGUGCCGAUCGACGGAUCGGGACGUCGGCUGGAGGGACGGCGUCACCGACGCAGAUGAACAGACUGACGGACCCCAGGAAGAGACUGUCGGGGGGCCGGGGGCCCGGUAAAGGAGGCUGAGCUCCUCCCAGCCUCUACUGUAUAGACCUGGACUCCUGGAUUCUGCUCCUUCCCUGGGCACUUCCUUCAGGAAGACGUCUCACCACCUUCCGCGAUCGAAUUGAUCCCACACAACCUUGGCACCAUCUUUACUUCACAGGAGCCUUGCACUUAACUGUGGCAAGGUGCUUGAUUCUGGGGAAGGUGCCUGUACUCUUGAGUUUCCUUAUAUAAGCUCCAUUUGCCUUUGGCCGACACUGUAUGAUUGGAAAUGUUACAACAGGUCCUCUGAGAUGCAAUCAGAUUGAAGGAAGCAGCAAAUGUUUCCAAUGUGAAAAUGAAAAGGAUUUCUUUUAAAAUAUAGUCAUCGUUCAUAAGUCACAGUGCAGCUGGGGUCCCCAAUUUGGUCGAUGCCGUUGGUUCUCAGUCUGACAGGAUGUGAGGGCGAUCUGGCUGCGACAUCUGUCACCCCAUUGAUCGCCAGGGUUGAUUCGGCUGAUCUGGCUGGCUAGGCGGGUGUCCCCUUCCUCCCUCACCGCUCCAUGUGCAUCCCACCCGGAAGCUGUGCGCUCGGUCGAAGAGGACGACCAUCCCCGAUAGAGGAGGACAGUUCUUCGGUCAAGGGUAUACGAGCAGCUGCGCUCCCCUGCUAGAACCUCCAAACAAGCUCUGUCUGACAAAGCUGCGAGGCCUGUUUGAGGGGAAACAUUGGUCUGAGAAAUCCCUGUUUCCCUCACCCACUGUCCUUGCCCUCUCUGACUAGGGGUGUGCCUGUGGCCCCACCCAGAAAGAUGAUCAGCUGCUGGCUCUGAGCUGGGGGGGGGCACCUCUUUCUCAGGAAGAGGUGGUGGCAACAUAAAAAUUCUAAGCAAAGUUUUAAAUGAAAAAAGGGAGCAUAUUUAUUCAAGUAUCCUGAUAAUGAAGGGGGGGGGGCGCACUUACAACUAAGAGCUUGUAGAAUUCUGCAAAAUGAAUGUAUAUUGAACCAAUCCCCUGAUUUAUACAUUCAGGAAGAAUAAAUUUCAAUCAUGUGAGACAGAG